This 461-nucleotide ribosomal RNA is filed under the name uncultured bacterium. RNAcentral describes it as "bacterial SSU rRNA". It matches the Rfam family "Bacterial small subunit ribosomal RNA", at positions 28 to 487 of the family's 1533-position model. The record is from RNAcentral.
GACGAACGCUGGCGGCGUGCCUAACACAUGCAAGUCAACUUGACUGAAGGAGCAAUCUGACAGUAGAGUGGCGCAAGGGUGCGUAACGCGUAAGUAACUUGCCCAAGGUAAGGAAUAACGUCGAGAAAUCGGCGCUAAUACCUCAUAAUGCAGCGGAUCCGCAUGGAUAUGUUGUUAAAGGUUUACCGCCUUGGGAUAGGCUUGCGUCUGAUUAGCUAGUUGGUGUGGUAAACGGCACACCAAGGCUACGAUCAGUAACUGGUCUGAGAGGAUGAUCAGUCACACUGGAACUGAGACACGGUCCAGACUCCUACGGGAGGCAGCAGUGAGGAAUAUUGGGCAAUGCUCGAAAGAGUGACCCAGCAACGCCGCGUGGAGGAUGGAGGUAUUCUAUAUCGUAAAACUCCUGUGAGAGCAGACGAAAGACAGAUUAUUAAUCUGGAUGACUGUAUGCUCAGAGG